CCUCAGUCCUAUUAAUAACACCUUUCAUUUGUAUGAUGCAUUGCAUUUAGACUUCAAAGCCUAUCUACAUUCAUCAUUGUCUCCUUUAAUCCCAACAAAAACGCUGUGAGGAAUGCAGGUUGGCCUUUGGGGCUCAUGACUCCGGAACAGGAAUAGCCACCGAAGUUGUCUCCCAGGACAAUGGCCAGAGAGCAGAGGACCGCUAGAUUUCAUAGGGCAGGGGAGCCAGGGUCCAAGAAAGCAAAGGAUCUGUGAUCCUCUGGUAUUAUUCCUGGUCUGCGCUGCCUCUAGGCAUUUUGGAGCAGUUGGACAGAAGGUCUCCGUUCAAAUCCUGCCUCUAACACAGAGACUCUGACUCUUUGACCCAGCACAAAUCACUCCGACUCUCCAAGACAGUAAGUUCCAGGACAUUUGCUGAUCUGUAUGGGGAGAGGGCAUGUCUCCACCUGUGAAGUACCCACACUGAUGAAAUCACCCCUUCCAAGGUUGUUGUGAGAUAGUGGUAUAUGGAAAACACUUCACAACUGAGAGCCCUAUUAUAGAAAUGAUUGCUAUUAUUAUCCUACUACAGUCUUACAAAUGUAAUUACUUAAUUGUACUCUUGAGUUUCUCCCUGCUGGCUAGAUUGUAAGUUACUUGAGGUCAGGACCAUGGCUUACCCUUCUUUUGCAUUAUUCCACAGUGCCUAAAGCGGUGCUGAACAUAGAGUUUAGAGCUUGAAUUGGCAAAGGAGACGUGAUAGUGUCCAUGUGCUAACUCCCUCCUCUAAAUUAGCA
This 776-nucleotide long non-coding RNA is filed under the name Phascolarctos cinereus (koala). RNAcentral describes it as "lncRNA (ENSPCIG00000034085.1)". Lineage: Eukaryota; Metazoa; Chordata; Mammalia; Diprotodontia; Phascolarctidae. The record is from RNAcentral.